RNAcentral lists this non-coding RNA (30 nucleotides) under Mus musculus (house mouse). Lineage: Eukaryota; Metazoa; Chordata; Mammalia; Rodentia; Muridae. The record is from RNAcentral.
UGCUGAAUGGGCCGUGUCAGGUACAGGUGU